Molecule: long non-coding RNA, 608 nt
Filed under: Musa acuminata (dwarf banana)
Lineage: Eukaryota; Viridiplantae; Streptophyta; Magnoliopsida; Zingiberales; Musaceae
Description: long non-coding RNA (MACU_LNC003359)
Source: RNAcentral
CAUCAUCACCGCCGCCACCACCACCAUCUCUCUCCGCCCACGAAAGAUCCGAAAGGUUUCUUCCUCCUUCUCCUCCUCGGUGUUGGCCGAAGACGCCUUCAAGAAGAACCCUUCCUCCGAUGGCCGCCUCGCCGUCCGCGUGAUCCCUCGCCCGCUGUCCGCCGACGGGGAGAUCGUCGUCGCCCUCCGCCACCUCCGCGCCGCCGACCCCCACCUCGGCCGCGUCAUGGACGCCCACGAGCUCCCGGCCUUCCAGUACCUCCACCCGCCCUUCCACGCCCUCGCCCGCAGCAUCCUCUACCAGCAGCUCGCCUUCAAGGCCGCCGCCUCCGUCUACUCCCGCUUCCUCUCCCUCUGUGGCGGCGAGGCCGGCGUCGUGCCCGAGGCCAUCCUCGCCCUCACGCCCCAUCAGCUCCGCCAGAUCGGCGUCUCCGGCCGCAAGGCUUCCUACCUCCACGACCUCGCCCGAAAGUACCACACCGGUAUCCUCUCCGACGCUGCCAUCGUUGCCAUGGACGACAAGUCUCUCUUCACUAUGCUCACCAUGGUCAAAGGCAUCGGCGCCUGGUCCGUCCACAUGUUUAUGAUCUUCUCUCUCCACCGCCCGG